Molecule: ribosomal RNA, 468 nt
Filed under: uncultured bacterium
Lineage: Bacteria
Description: partial 16S ribosomal RNA
Rfam family: Bacterial small subunit ribosomal RNA
Source: RNAcentral
GACGAACGCUGGCGGCGUGCUUAACACAUGCAAGUCGAACGGAAAGGCCCUGCUUUUGUGGGGUGCUCGAGUGGCGAACGGGUGAGUAACACGUGAGUAACCUGCCCUUGUCUUUGGGAUAACUUCAGGAAACUGGGGCUAAUACCGGAUAGGAGCUCCUGCUGCAUGGUGGGGGUUGGAAAGUUUCGGCGGUUGGGGAUGGACUCGCGGCUUAUCAGCUUGUUGGUGGGGUAGUGGCUUACCAAGGCUUUGACGGGUAGCCGGCCUGAGAGGGUGACCGGCCACAUUGGGACUGAGAUACGGCCCAGACUCCUACGGGAGGCAGCAGUGGGGAAUAUUGCGCAAUGGGCGGAAGCCUGAUGCAGCAACGCCGCGUGCGGGAUGACGGCCUUCGGGUUGAAAACCGCUUUCGCCUGUGACGAAGCGUGAGUGACGGUAAUGGGUAAAGAAGCACCGGCUAACUACGUG